CCCACCCGAGUUCCCAUCACCGAGUUCAUUGAGACCCAGGCUCUUCUACCUGGUGAUCUGGACAAGGCAGGCCUCAGGAGGCACCAGGACAAGAGAUGAGAUAGCGGGCAGGAUUUUAGUGACCAUAACAGGACAGAAGAGGGGGUUGGAUGCCCUGGAACUGAAAACAUAGAUGUCAUGAGCCAACAUGUGGGUGCUGAGAAGUGAACCCAAGGUCUGCAGGAAGAGCAAGUGCCCUUAACCGCCACACCCUCUCUCCAGCCCCACAUAAUGUUAAGUGAAAAGGAAGAGAAAGCCAGCUGGGAAACAAUGCUUCUUGGAACCAGCUUGCCCCAUUCACGUGAGACACAAGCAUCCAUGCUACUUGU
Long non-coding RNA from Mus musculus (house mouse), 368 nucleotides. RefSeq annotates it as predicted gene, 54254. NCBI's taxonomy places the organism in Eukaryota, Metazoa, Chordata, Mammalia, Rodentia, Muridae. The record is from RefSeq and is a predicted model, not a curated record. The transcript has 3 exons.